UGCGCAGGGCGUGUUUCAGCACGAUGUUGCGGAAGCUCACGCCCUUGAGCCGCGCGGUGCGGAUGUAUUGCGCGGUCAUGACCUCGGCCAUGGACGCCCGCGUCAUCCGCGCGAUGUAGCCCAUGCCGUAAAGCGCCAUGGUCAGCACCGGCAGGGUGAAGUUUUCCAGCGUGGCGUCC
This 179-nucleotide non-coding RNA is filed under the name Dinoroseobacter shibae DFL 12 = DSM 16493. RNAcentral describes it as "Dinoroseobacter shibae DFL 12 Ruegeria cis52 sRNA". It matches the Rfam family "Ruegeria cis52 sRNA". From Rfam's summary of the family: Cis-encoded. Targets oligo/dipeptide ABC transporter. Functions in transport. Lineage: Bacteria; Pseudomonadati; Pseudomonadota; Alphaproteobacteria; Rhodobacterales; Roseobacteraceae. The record is from Rfam by way of RNAcentral.